Non-coding RNA from Sediminibacillus halophilus, 68 nucleotides. The record is from Rfam. NCBI's taxonomy places the organism in Bacteria, Bacillati, Bacillota, Bacilli, Caryophanales, Bacillaceae.
CACGAAGGAAGUUCUGUUAAGCCCGUUCACGUCCUGUGAACAACACAGAACGACCUGCAUCCUGCAGG